GAGCAGCAGUGGGGAAUAUUGUACAAUGGGCGCAAGCCUGAUGCAGCCAUGCCGCGUGUGUGAAGAAGGCCUUCGGGUUGUAAAGCACUUUCAGUCGUGAGGAAGGUGGUGUAGUUAAUAGCUGCAUCAUUUGACGUUAGCGACAGAAGAAGCACCGGCUAACUCCGUGCCAGCAGCCGCGGUAAUACGGAGGGUGCGAGCGUUAAUCGGAAUUACUGGGCGUAAAGCGCAUGCAGGUGGUUUGUUAAGUCAGAUGUGAAAGCCCGGGGCUCAACCUCGGAAUAGCAUUUGAAACUGGCGAACUAGAGUACUGUAGAGGGGGGUAGAAUUUCAGGUGUAGCGGUGAAAUGCGUAGAGAUCUGAAGGAAUACCAGUGGCGAAGGCGGCCCCCUGGACAGAUACUGACACUCAGAUGCGAAAGCGUGGGGAGCAAACAGGAUUAGAUACCCUGGUAGUCCACGCCGUAAACGAUGUCUACUUGGAGGUUGUGGCCUUGAGCCGUGGCUUUCGGAGCUAACGCGUUAAGUAGACCGCCUGGGGAGUACGGUCGCAAGAUUAAAACUCAAAUGAAUUGACGGGGGCCCGCACAAGCGGUGGAGCAUGUGGUUUAAUUCGAUGCAACGCGAAGAACCUUACCUACUCUUGACAUCCAUAGAACUUAGCAGAGAUGCUUUGGUGCCUUUCGG
RNAcentral lists this ribosomal RNA (686 nucleotides) under Vibrio sp. RNAcentral describes it as "bacterial SSU rRNA". It matches the Rfam family "Bacterial small subunit ribosomal RNA", at positions 346 to 1024 of the family's 1533-position model. The record is from RNAcentral. Lineage: Bacteria; Pseudomonadati; Pseudomonadota; Gammaproteobacteria; Vibrionales; Vibrionaceae.